RNAcentral lists this long non-coding RNA (43690 nucleotides) under Sorghum bicolor (sorghum). RNAcentral describes it as "long non-coding RNA (SBIC_LNC012219)". Lineage: Eukaryota; Viridiplantae; Streptophyta; Magnoliopsida; Poales; Poaceae. The record is from RNAcentral.
CACUUGAGUAGAUCUCUAUAAAUGUUGUCAUGCUACCUUUGUCUAUUUACUAGCAAGUGUUGGUUUGGAAGUACUCGCCAUACUUCCAUUGGCAUUUAAAUUAAGCAUGGUGCUUAGGUUAAAUAGCCUUCCUUAAUCUGAUUAGACAUGGAGUCUAGUUUGGUUAUUGAACUAAAAAAAACUGCUUGAGUAGAUAUUGGUAUAUUUUGUCGGACUAACCCCUACAGAAAAACUUUCAAUAUCGAUUUGGGAAGUCCUGAGAUAAACUCACAUCAGAGACGAAGAGAGUGACACAUGAAGUUUAACAAUUUGCACAAGAAGGACAUAGCUCAUUCAUCAUAGAGAGAUGAUCCAUGGAGGGUGCCACAAACACGAUGCACAACCGCUAAGAAAGGAAAGCUUCCACAAGAUGAUACUGUACCAUCACUCUUCAAGCAAGGUAACAUCUUAAGGUACUUGACUAUCACUUUUAUAAGCUUCUCCUUGGUUCUGGCGUUCAUAUAAAUAAAAGAGACAAACGUGUAUGAUUUACAACUCUAGGUUAACGAACCCAACUGAUUCAACAUGUUUAGUCCUUUAAUCCUUGUUCUUAGUACUACCUCCAUGAUCCCACACUCCUAAUCAUAUGAGCUAAAAUGUUACACAUUCAAUCAUUGAGAGAUAUAAAGAAAAAGACAUAUACAUAGAUAGAUUAUCUUUCCAUAAGGUUGAGCGAUCUGAUCUGACAAAUAUUAUAAGUGCUACACUCAUGAACUUUUCAUCCAUCAACUUUGUCUUGCUCACUAUGCUUAAGGUUAGAGAAGAACAAAUACACUUUUGGUUCUGUUGGUGUUUUCCACCAACAGGGCCCAUGCACUUGAUCUCUGCCUUGUCUCUAUGAGCAGGUACACUACGAGCACAAACACACUGAGCAAGAUAAUGCUAACACCGCACUUCGAACUGCUGGGCAAACGAAGAACAUGGGUGACAUCGUAUUAAAAGGUGCAGACGUCAAGGUCCGCACCUGAAUCAAAUGACGCACCUGAAGAAUGAACACGGUGAGAAGUCUUGUCAAGAAGACUUAAAACAUUGAACCCUCGCCGAAAGGUAAGAUUGGUAGUUAUCCAUAUUUAUCCUUUCUGCAUUCCCUUUUCCCUUUAAUUAUUUACUUUCCUUAAAUAAAUUAUUAGUUAAUCAUGCUAUCUUGAAAAGAAAAUAAAAAUGUUAAAAAAAUACUAAGCCCCAUGUGAGUAUACGAGUGGCAUAAAACCCAUAAGUACCUUCACUGUGGUGGCAUAAAAAUAAAAUAAAUAUUUCUUUUCUACUUUAUAAAAUAAAAAUAUAAAAACAGGGAGUAAUAUUUAUUGAGGAAGCUCAACGUGAUGAAGGCUAGAUAUUUAUGCUAACACUUAAUUAGUUCCACAAGCUUUGUUGUCUAUUUGAGCUCCACAGAAUUUAAGAAUCAAGAAGACUAGCAGACGGAGGACAUUCUAAUCGCUGUCAGAAUGCUGCUGACUUUCAAAUACACCUCUGCCACCUGCUAGCUACAUCAAGAGAAAUUACGUCAAAAUUCAGCUUGGGGGAGAGCACCCCUAUUUAUCUCGCUAAGUAUUUCUACCUAUCUUUAUACUUAUAUUAUAUUAGAAUAUUAAAAUACAUAAACUAUGAAAAACCAAAUAAAGAUUUUAUGCUUAUAUAUAUAUAUAUCUUUUCUUAGUUUGCUAAAUAAAUAAAUAAAUAAAUAAAGUUUGCUAUGAAUCUUAAUAAUAAAACUCUAGCAUGGAUAAGAUGAAUAGUUGCUCUGCCUAAUUUGCAAAUUUGAAGUUCUCUCUCAAGUAUAGACAUAACUGUUAUAAUUUAAAGCUUGCUCUAGAUCUAAACUUGUGGGAUGAAAACUUGAUCUGAAAUCUAAGUUGUUAACGGAUAAGAUAUGGGAAGGUUGAGCUGCUGUUUAUCUGUUCCUAGAGAUGCUAGAAUUCUGGAGAAUUUUAUCUUUGAAAAUCUUUAAAAUGUUGCAUGAUGAGUUCCUGUAUGAUGAGAGUUUAAAUUCCUACCACAGCCAUAUAUACAUGCUUGCUAGACUUUGAGCCACACAUUUAUUUACUACUUAUGAGCAUUGAGUGUGAUCAAGCUGUGUAGACCCUUAGGAGCUUGUCAUGCGGUUAAAUCAAGAUUCACUUGCACGUUCACUCAUAUAUAUGCUACUUCUACUCCGGAAGUACCAUCCACAUAUAUCCAUCAAUUUCCAUCUCCAGAAUCACCUAAAAAUAUUGUACUCCUAAUUCGGGAGAGAAUAGCCAAAAACAUCUGUGUUUUUCCCUUGUGAAAUAAAUGCUCAAGUUAUCUUGCUACUACCACUUGCUAUAUUGUCUCAAGAGAUGAGUGCUCUGAAAAAAAAAGAAAAGAAAAAAAAAUAAACGAGGAAAUAAAAAAGGGGCAAGUGCUCGAAACCUCGAAAGAAAAGAAAAAGAGUGAGACGAGAGGUAAAAAUGGACAAGUGUCCGACAGUAGAAUUAGGGGUACAAGAUACCCACCUGAGAGGAAAGAAAAAGAAGAGCAUCUCAUUCUCCUCAUAAAGUUUCAAAACGCAAGGAAGGUAUGUAUCCCCUCAUAAGAGCAAAAGUAGAAUUAGACUUUCACCAUUGUUAUCACCAUCAUCACUAUACACCAUUCAUUCGCCACACAUGCACAUCUUGAUUUGGCUUAUUGAUUUGUUUCUUUUGGAUCCAUGGUUUGACUAUACAAUAAAUGUCUUGUAAGUAUGUAUACUUUAUCUCCCACCUAUGAGCUCCAGAUAUUAAAGCCUUAUUAGAGUAGGGUGAGAGAGAAGGCAAUGUCACUAUGCCUUAUACCACAAAUACCACAUAUUUUGAGAGAAGGCAUAUACCAUCACUGCCUUGGUAAAGAUCCAGAAAUACCACAAAAGAGAGAUAUGAGAGAGUCAUACAAGGAAUCUCUGAGUUUUAUUUGAAAAUCUGCAAAAACUCCAGAGCUAUAGCUGAUCAAGAAUAAGAGACAUGGCACUUGGCUAGACUGUUCUAUCUUUUAACCACUCAAGACAGAAGUGACGGUUACAAGUCCCAUAGUGAAAGGUAAAGUAAGUAAGUUUUAAGUCUUGACAGUUUAAUCUAACUCAGAGAUGUGACCUCAUUUAAAAGCAUGUGUACUGUCAAUUUUUAAAAGAUAUUGCAACAACUUAUGAUCCAUAGCUGAGUCUAUCCUUGCUCAGGGACGAGCAAGAGGUAAGCUUGGGGGAGUUUGUUGACGGUCCUUAAGUAUCAAAUUUAACUAUCAAAUAAACAAAGAAAAGGAUCCAAAUGAAAUCAACAUCGAGACUUAGGGUUUUAUCUGACAGAAUUCCACGAGUUUUGGUGUUUGUCUAUUUCUGCAGGGGGGUAUCAGGAAUACGGAAGAAAGGCCCACACGUCGGGAUUACGUAGAGAUAUUAAUGUGCUGCGCAAUUAUCUUACAUCUAGAAGACUCCAGAAGCCACGAGGCCGAAGCGGAGGCGAAACGGGGCCAGAGACAGGGCGCCCGCCCUGUCCUACAGGGCGCCCGCCCACCUCCUGUGGCCAAUCACGUUCAACCUCGCGAAUUAUGCUCCACCGACCUAAAGGAUCAAGAAUAACCGUUGAAUCAAUGUCGGUUUGAUCCGACGGCCCAGGUUCACUUGAGGGGACUAUAAAACCAGACCCCCUGGCCCCUGGAGGAGACACCCCUUGAUCAUUAUUCAUUAUUCAUAGACAGAGCAAAAGCUAGGGUUUAGAGAUGAGAGCUCUCCUCUCUUCUCUAAACUAGAGUAGAUCUAGAUAGUAGCGAGAUGGAGAGCGAAGGAGGAUUAGAGGAGAGGCCGGCCUGUCGGUUCUUCCUCCGGUUGUACUUCGCCAUGAUCAAGCUCUAAUCAAGCUUGCUCAUGGGAUGACUCUGGUAAUCUACUUCUAAUUCAUUAUGCAAUUACUAAUCAUGUAUGUUCUGGUUCACAACUCUUUUGAGUACUUCUAAUCUAUAGGACCCUAUAGGUUAGAGUUGUAGUAUAGGUGUAAGCGUGGUGCUUAGACCUAGAUUACUUGUGGAUAUCCCCUGACUAGCUGGAUCGUGUGGUAGGCCGCGUAGGUGACAGUUACGUUGGUCCCCUGUAGUCCACCUCUCGUUAGCAGGACGAGUAGGGUUUAUCGGCCUAUGGAUAAGCAUCCUUUGUGGUGUACUCUUAUCACGUGGUUCGUCCCAGACAUAGACAUACCCCUUUGAAGUAGAGAAACCAUAGUUAUCCUCUCUAUUCUGCUACCAUCGCCCAUAUACUAGAAUUGCUCUAUUCUCUAUUCCCAUAUUAUCACUCACUGUUAUCUUACCUUUAAUAUUGUUCUUAUUCGAUUCUAUCAUCUUUCCUAUUUACACCUAUCUAUCUAUCUUGGUUAAGUUAGAGCGUAGUUGGUUCUUCCGUUUCCCUGUGGAUACGAUAAAACCUUUAACCAGGUAAAAGCUUCAACGGUAUCCGUGCGCUUGCGGAUUAUCUGUGUGCGUAUAAAUACCAUAGUACACUCUAGUGCCAUGCUGGGGAUGACAACCUAGUAUUCAAGUGGUGUUAGCAAGUGUCAACACUUUUCUUUCAUCAUCUCCUCGGAAAGCUAAUUCUGAGUGGCUCUAUAGGCAAGGCGCUGGGCAGCCCUCUGGUACUGCAGUUGACGGCUCUCCAGAUGAGCUGCUUGAAAGAGGAUUUCUUCAGCAUCGGCGAGGAUUUGGCCUCUCAGGGUCUUGAACAAAGCAUUAGCUGGAUUAGAGUCAUCGACUAGUUGGGCUGUGUCUUGGUGGAGGAGAGCCAAUAGUUCUUCCAGCUUUGCCCUGACCUCUACCGAUGUGAUCCCAACUGCCCGAGAAGAGCUUGCUUCAUCACCUUCAUCAUCAGAGAUGUCGAUGGCGAAGGAGAAUAGGCUGUCGGGAGAGUCCUGCUCCUGAAAAAGAGUUAAAACGAGUUAUUCUAUGGUCAGGUAUUGAUGAAUAAUGCAGGCGGAGAUUGGACAACUUACUUGCUUCAGGGCAAUCUCUCGCCUCUGACUAGAAGAUGCCGACGGAAUCAUGGGUUGAUCGGCUGAGGUUGCCGAUUGAACUAUGUCAGCUGAAAGGUGACAGAGAUAGUUAUAAGAUAGAAAGGGUAAGUUCAUCAGCAGUAAUUUCAUAGAAGUAUGUUACUUUGAGGUGCGACAAUACUUCUUUGGAUAGAAGAAACUACCGAUGCUAUGAUUGAGCCUGCUGGAUCGGUAGUCUGCUCGCUUACAUCAGCCGAUGUAUCUUCAGGCUGAGGCUCUUCUAGAUGAGGUUCCUCUUGUUGGGGUUCUUCCACUUGAGGUACUACUGGCAGAUGAGGGGGAGAUGGUACCUGCUGCAUCUGUGCUUCUGGGGAGGAAGGAGAGGAUUCCACUGGAAUUGGUGAUACCCGGGGAGGAGAAGGCGUUGCUACUCUUUGACGUUUCACCCGUCCUCUGGUACUCUUGGUAGCUUUCCUCUUCGGCUGGCUAGACUGGGGGGCAUCGGCACUUCUACUUCUGGUCUUUGCCGAUGCGCCGGUAUGCUACGUCAGGAAUAAGAAUUCGUAAGCACAAGUGUGACAGAUGUAAAAAUGGAAUCGGUAUAAAUAGAAAGGUUUAACGAUUACCUUGAAGGCCUGUGCUAAGGUGGAGGCGGCUACCGAUGGAGAUGUCUUGGUCCUCUUGGUGGUCACUUUCUUAAGGUGCACACCUCGGUGCAUGAUGGCAGCUAGAGUGGGAGCGUUGUUGCCGAUUGAAGAGAUCAGACCUGAUGGAAACAGAUCAAUCGACUUGCCGCUCCUACUGAUAGAUGGCGGAAUGUUAUCAACCUGCAACGUCACACAAAGAGUAAGUUACCGAUGAAUAUGGGAGUAAGGGGAUAAAAAUGUUGGUUCAAAGGUACUUACAGUAUUGUCGUGGACUUUGUACUGGGGAUCGAUCGUGCCGCGAUAUGUAAGGGCCGAUCUGCAAAACAAGUGCUCCUUCCACUCCUCCCACCAUUGCUUGUAUGCUUGAGUGACAAAGAGAACUGGAACCCACUCUGACAAAUCGACAUCCGUAUCGGCAUUUGGUGCUAGCUGGGCCACUCUGAUCCAUUCGAGGAGAUUAUUGAUAAUCUCUCUGGGUUUUAUCACAUCGGCAUAACAGAGUGCAAUCGGCAGCUGGCCGAAGGCUAAUUGACGAGCUAAUGCCGAUGGGUUGUAAAACUCAUAGGUUUGGCUAGAGGUUUUCCCACUGCUAAAUAAGUUCACUAGUAUAACUCUGGGAGUGAUCAGUGCCAUCAUUACCUCGUCAUCCUUGUUAAGAUCAUUGUCGAAUGGGUGGAAGAACAAAGGGAACAUGGUGUCUGGAUCUUCAUAGGGCAUCCAUGUUCACUGUUCUCUGGUUAGGCCUUCGUACAAGGUUUGGAAGAAUCGGCUGACCUGAUCUACGUUACCUCCUGUGCCAGGCAAGACUAUGGCAGCCUCACCAAAGUUCAGAGGAGGGCGAAUUGCCGAUUCUUCAUCAUCCAGUUCAUGGUUCUCGGCUGUAUCCCUGGGGAAACGCUAUGCAAAGAGGUCGAACUCGAGGCGCUUGUGCAUGUUAAGGUUGAGCCACAUGUUAAUAAACCACCAGGGACCCCCCAAGCUGCCGAUGGGCUGACCGAGCAGGAGUUUCUUAGCUACCUGGUGGAGGAGAUGGUAGGCAGCGCCAAGCAGGUAUCAGCCAAGAGGUAAUCGGCCACCAUUAGCCGGCCUCUCUGCCGCCGAUAGGUAAACAGAGGUCGGUCCUACCGAUCGGCCGCAGAAUAUGAAUUUGUCCAGCCACAUGUUGACGGGCCCUGUCUUACGAUACUUCUGAAUAUACCCGGACCAGCCGCCGAUGGCGCGGGUUUCCACUUUGGCGCUAGGCGCGGUGUCAAAAAAGUGGGUGCUAUCGACAGAAGAUACGUCCAGGCCGGUGAGCAGAACUGCAUCGGCAAGAGUGGGGGAAGCAGGACCGUGGCCAAAGACAAAGGCAUUGAGCGUGUCUGACCAGAAGUAUGAUGCAGCUAUCAAUAACGACUCGUUCCUAUGCAUAUCGGCAAUGGACAACCUGAUACAUUGGUCCAGUUUUCUCUCACCCCACUGGACUUCGUUUGAAUGGCUGACUCUCAAGAACCAAUCCUUCCAUCCUACGGUGGGGCUGGGCCAGGAGCGAAAAGUAUCCUUCCACAGAUCUAAGGAAAAGUUUUUGGCUCUAAAAGGGAUCCCGUUUGUUUCUACAUUAAUCAAAUCUGUGGGAUCUGGAUUCCCUAAUGGACCAAGGCAUUGGAGGUGUGGCUGAUCGGUAGGGAUGAUUAGUUUGUUGGACAGAUCCUAUUGGUUUUAGGGAUGAAAAGAAGGAUAAGAACAAAAAGAAAGAAAAAUAAAAGGAUGUUCAGUGAAAUAAAUUAUGGACAAACAGGAAUGCGGGAAAAGCACAAGAGGUGGAAUGAAGAACUCACCUCAGGGACUGUGAAGUUGAUGGCCAUCUCUUCAUGAAGAGGAUGACCGAGGGCCUCGGAGUUGGAGGAGAAAAGGCUUCGUUGGAGAUCUCGGAGCUCUCGAACAGCGCUACCGCCGGGAAAGUGGAGUUGGAGCUGUAGAAUGAUGUGAUGGGGAAGGAGUACCCGAGAAGGAACUAUUUAUUGGACAAAACGGGCAAGGGCAAAUUUGAAUUAUCUCUUCGCCGUAUCCAUGAAAUCUGAGGGUACUCAGGUAGAUAUGGUAACUGUUCGCAUGAUAAUCAAGGGAUUGUGCAGGUGAUUUGACAGGAAGCGGUUAUUAUCCGGAGAUAUUUUACUGUGCGGGAUCUCCUGGUCGGUCCAUCGGCAGCGCCUUGUAACGGUAAUAUUGCCGAUGGGCGAAUAAAGUGGAGUUAGCCGUUUGGGAGGAUAAGAUACGUUACUGAGUAUCCUGGUUAGUCCAUCGGCAGGUCUCUGUAACGGUAAUACUGCCGAUAAGCGAUCAAAGUGAAGGUGCCUAUUCGGGAAGUUGAGGAUUUCAAUGAAUCUGCGGAGGAAUCAAACUGAGGUUGUUCAGGUUGAGGUUGUCGGUUACCAAAUUGGGAGAAUUAAUUGCGAAAAAGCAUCAUUACUGCAGGGAAUUUCGGAGCAUUAAUGAUUUCAUACUCCGAAAUUGAGGGGCAUGUGUUGACACCAUUUUUGGGUACGUGUCCAUGGUCGGUAGAAUGCAGGUUGGCAAGACAAAACAACUGUGCUUGGUCUACAGGAUGAGUUGCCGAUGAGGAUGGUUGCCGAUGGAGGGACGGCUGAACAUGACCAAGUCAAUAGGUGAUGAUGUGUUUGUGCCAAUGACUACGACAGGGGAGUCUGCCGACGACGCGGAGGAAGAACCUAAAGGUUGCCGAUCGGCAUGUGGAGGUGUUCCAGUUUGUCACGGGAGGAUAGUUUUAUGUUUUCCUUAGUUAUUUAGAUCGUUUUGUAUACGGAUUCUGUUUAAUUUGGAAUUCGAAUUCUAGUCGUGUCUGGUUGUAGCUCUGCGAACAGGGUAUAAAUGUAGACCCUGAGGCUUUGUAAACAUCCAUCUAUCAAUCAAUCAAACACCAGUUUUUACUCAUAUUCUAGCAUAUACUUUUCGACGACUUCGUCAUACUUUUUUCCUUUACUACGAGUUCUUAGGAAUUCGUCGACUUAAGCUCGGCGUGUUCUCAAGUUCCAUGUGAAUACCUCUUGGCCGUGGCAUCCGGGCGUAUCGCUGUUGUCGGGACCAAAGUAUUCGAGUUACCACCUUUGCCGAUAGUAAGGUCAAACAGGCUGGCACGCCUUAACGUUUAAAUCGGGUAUUAGCCCUUUGUGUUUGCAGAUCCACUUUUGCAUCAACAGUAUGCAUACGAAGAGACAGAUGAAUGCUUUGGCAAACAUGAUAACAUACUUCAUUGGAUACUCAUUUACUUAGUAAGCUUCUAUUACAAGCUCACAAAAGAGUACCACCACAACUAACACACUUAAACAACAACCAACAACUUGACAGGUCAAAGAACAACCCAUAACUAGAGAUAUAUAGAUCCAACAGACAUGAAUUAAGACAUUCUGAAAAGCUUAUGAAAUUGUUUACAUUUCAUCUUUAGACAUCUCAGCAAGAUUCACAAGUUAAACAGGUCAAUUAAAUAAAGUUCCAGGUUCUGUUCCAGAAAGACAGAGAGCACCUUGUUCUGGAACUGAAGUUGGAAAAGCCAUAGCCAAAUGACCCCAAAUUUUAACUACAGCUAGAAUACAAAGUUUACAACAUUUUUGGUAUAGACAAGUCUUUCAGAAAACAAUGUUAUCAUUAGACAAUAAUCAGAUUACUCCCUUGUUGUCCAGAACAGCUAUGUAACCUUUAAUUAAUUAUUUGCUGACAUAGCAAAGACAUAUUUAGUAUCAACCAAGUGGCUCAUAUGCACAAGUAUAACCUAAGAUUACCAGAAAACCACAUGUUGACUACUAAACACUUAAUUAAAAAGGCAUUUAUUAAUUUAAUUCCAUAAAAGGGGAUAAUUAAAAGAUACCCACAAGAUUGCUCAGAAAAAAUCUACGAAAAUUACAGAAGCAGAAGCAAGAUACCUUGACAUUACUAUAAAAAUUUCAAAGCAAUUGCACAUGAAAAACGUAAGAUAUUUAAUUAACAUGUAACAAGGUGCUUAUUUCGUAAAUUAAGAAACAUGGCUUAAAUAGUGUGAAACAACAGAUUUCAGAUUAUUUACAUGCUAUUACUACCACGAGCAAGCUUGACACCAAAGGAAAGCACCAGCAUAAGCAUGUAGCAUUUAAUAUGAUUUAAACAUGGAUUUAAGCAAUAGUAUUAACAUAAAUUGCAUAUUAGAGAUACAGUACUCCAAAAAUCAUGAAAUAUUUACCAGAGCAUACCAGUAAUACACAAAGCAUAGCAUAAAAAGUUCACACCAUUUGGAGCAGUACAUCAAGAGAUAUGAAUUUACAUUGAAAUAACAAGAUUAAUUCCUAACAAUUAUUUUUCACAGAAACAUGGUGCAUAUUAUAUUUUUAUUAAAAACUAGCCAUCCCAUGGAUCAUCACAAUAUUUCUUUCACAAUUUUUGGAACUCAGGAACUGGAGAUAUGAUUUUUGCAAGAGUGCAAGAAAUCUGGAUUUUGAAUAAAAGAGAGGAGGGAGUCGUUGAGUCAGUGACAGCGGGACUCGCAUGUCAGUUUCUUCUUCCCCUCGACCGAUGUUGACGGUCCUUAAGUAUCAAAUUUAAUUAUCAAAUAAAUAAAGAAAAGGAUCCAAACGAAAUCAACAUCUAGACUUAGGGUUUUAUCUGACGGAAUUCCACGAGUUUUGGUGUUUGUCUAUUUCUGCAGGGGGUUAUCAGGAAAUACGGAAGAAAGGCCCACACGUCGGGAUUACAUAGAGAUAUUAAUGUGCCGCGCAAUUAUCUUACAUCUAGAAGACUCUAGAAGCCACGAGAACGAAGCGGAGGCAGAACGGGGUCUCGCCCAGGGCACCCGCCCUAGGGACCAGGGCGCCCGCCCACCUCUGGAGUCCAAUCCGGACUCUCUUUCGGGAUUACGCUCCACCGACCUAAAGGAUUAAGGAUAACCGUUUAAUCAAUGUCGGUUUGGUCCGAUGGCCCAUAUUCACUUGGAAGGACUAUAAAACCAGACCCCCUGGCCCAUGGAGGAGAGAGCCUCUCAACCCUAAUUCAUUAUUCAUCAGGGAGAAGAAGCCUCUGAUCAAGCCUAGAGCCACCACAUCAAUUAGACAUCUAGAUUAGCAUAGCUACAUAGGAUUAGAACUAGAAGGAGUCAAUCUUCGAUUGGUUUACGGGUCUGUCAAAAGGAUUCUUGGUAAUUUUCUAUUGUUCUUCAAUUGUUCAUCUUUGUUCUUCAAUAUUAUGAAUAUGACUUUGUUCUACUUCAAUAUAUUGCUUAUGACUUUGCUCUACUUGUUUAUAUUCGCAAUUAUAUUGUUCUUAGUUUAUCAUAGUUAUAUACUUGGCUUAGUUAGAUUGGAUUUAUAUACAUGUUUAGGAUCGUAUAGCGUUUAUCCAUCGGAUCCAUGGGUAAAUGAUAGAUAUUGUGUAGGCGUGGUGCUUAUACCGUAUUUAUCUACGAUUGUACCCAAUAUGCCAGAUCGUGGGGUAGUUCGUGGUAGUGACAGCUCCAUUGAUUCUUAUAUAGUCCCCCUCUCGUGUAUUGGGCUGGCAGAGCAACAUUAUUACAAGGGAGUGUUUGCGAUGUUUCUCAUAUUCUUUGCUAAUAUCACUAUGCAUGGGCGUAGUCUUGUCUCACAAUGAUUGCUAAAUAUAAUUGCACUAACUAUGAUAUGCUAGACUGUAUAGUUGAGAAUAACUUAGGAAAUAUUCUUGUAGUUCGUUCUAAUUCCAUGUUAAUGACUUGCUAGAAUAUCUAAGUGAGGUGCUUAUCAUAUUUAUUAUGUGGCUAAGUUAUGCUGAUCAGAUUAAUUACCUUUGUCACUAUUCAUUACUUUAUAUAUCCUUUAUGUGACACUUAUCCCUGUAUGAAAGAGUUAGAUAAAUGUUCUCAAUUAUACAUGCAAUGAUAGAUACUCAAUUCAAUAUUCCAUUAUAUAAUCAACAUUGAUGAUUACUAAUCCCUUCCCAGUGGUAAAAAUAUAAAUAACGAUACCUGGAAUACUUCUCGGUUAAAAUGCUACAUCGAUAUUAAUCUGUGCGCUUGCAGAUCCCAUUCUUUAUAUUUAGAUGAGCAAUUGCAUAUUUCAAUACCGCGUCUCUCAUGUCAUGCUGGGGAUGACAACUUGGCUUAAGUGGUAUGAGGGAUAGGUUUGGCAUUUUUGGCGCCGUUAUCAGAAUUAGAAAUUAAGUCUACUUUUGGUAAUGAUGUUAAGAAUGCCCAACAAGCAUUUUUGGCUCCGUUGCCAGGGAAGGUUGAUUACUGAUCAGGAAUGAAUAUAGAAUUUUGAUUUAUCAUUCGCAUCACUAAUAUGAUUGAGCUUAUCAAUUAUCUCAUAUAGUUAUACCCCGAUAUUUUUCUAUUUUAUCUUAUGCAGGGUAAUGUAUGAAUAGAAGACAUCUUCCAGGAAAUUUUGUUGAUAAUCCCGAAGUGUUAUUCAGAAAAACAAGAGCCAAGCUCAAGAAGAGAUCAUCAACACUUCAGCAAGAAGCUUCAUCCAAUCAAGAAGGUCACCGAAACUUGUCUUCAGAGUUCGAAGCCAUGGCGAACAAAUCGAUCCGUGAGUUCUCAGCUCCCACUACGGACAACAUCCGCACUGGACCUGCUGCAGAAAUCAAUGGCAACUUUGAGCUCAAGCAUGGACUUAUCAACAUGGUGCAAUCCAACCAGUUAUGUGGGAAGGCACAUGAAGAUGCUAGUGCUCUUCUCCAAUACUUCCUGGAGAUUUGCAGCACAUUCACCAUAUCAGGAGUCCCCAGAGAUGCUAUACUACUUCGUGUUUUCCCAUUCUCACUGUUAGGGAGAGCGAAGCAGUGGUACUACGCUACAAAGGAGAAGAAUACUACGUGGGCACUCUGCUCCACAAACUUUCUGGCUAAGUUCUUACCCAUGGGCAAGACCAAUGCUCUCCGUGGGAAGACUACAAGUUUUCAGCAACAACAUGAUGAAUCUGUUCCAGAAGCAUGGGAGCGCUUCCAAGACUACAUCCUAGAAUGUUCCCAUCAUGGAAUAGAGAGUUGGCUACUGAUGCAGACGUUUUAUCAUGGGCUCGGCAACAGUGCCCGAGAAACCAUGGAUGCUGCAGUUGGAGGAGCAUUCCUAUCACUCACCAUAUCACAAGCCAUAGCUCUUGUGGAGAAGAUGGCGUCCAAUCAAAGCUAGAAUGAAGAGAGGACCCAGACACGCAAGAAAGGUGGAGGUAUGCAUCAGCUCAAGGAGGUAGACAUGUUGUCAGCAAAGCUAGACCUGCUCAUGAAGAAGCUUGAAGAUAGAGCUGGAGACAUGAAAGAAGUUAUGCACAUCUAGGACUCUCACAUGACUUGUGAGGAGUGUGGAGAUACUGGACACUCAGGCAAUCACUGCCCUGAGACACUUGAGGAUGUGAACUACAUCAACAACAACAACUACUACUACAACUGUCCUCAACAAAAUCAAGGUUGGAAUCAACAAAGACCUAACUACUCAGGUAAUUAUCAAGGUAACAAUUCUUACAACAAUAAUAAUAAUUUUCCACCUUUGAGAGAGUUAGUGUCUAAUCAAGGAAAGUUAAUGGAUAACCUAUCUAAGAAAUUGGCAUCUAAUGAUAAAAUGCUAGAAAAUAUAAAUAAUAGAAUGGAUAAUUUCUCUACUGCCAUCAAGAAUCAAAUUAGCUUUAAUAAAAUGAUUGAAUCUCAGUUAAAUAAAAUAGCUGCUGCUGUUCCUGCUACUAACCCCAGUAUACCAUCACAACCGGAAGGAUUAGAAUCUGCAAAUCUUGUAGACAUGUUUGAUGCAGGUAAUUGGAGUAACCCCAUCACUGAAGUUACUACUGACCUUCUGUCGGUCAAGAGAGGCGAUCCAGGAUGCCCCGUCAUCCCGAUCUCCAUCGGCAUGGUGAACUUCCCAGAAGCACUCUGCGACUUUGGCUCUAGUGUCAACAUUAUGCCCAGGGUACUCUAUGAAAACUUCUUUACAUAUCCUUUAGUAGAAACAACCGUAUGUUUGCAGUUUGCAGAUCAGACGAUAAGUUUUCCAAAAGGAAUAUUGAAGAACCUUUGUGUCCGAGUUGGUACCUUGUACGCCCCAGCAGACUUCGUAGUGAUAGAGAGCGGUAAUGAUGAGAGGGCACCCAUCAUCUUAGGGAGGCCAUUCUUAAACACCUCGAGAGCUGUCAUCUACGCUAGUGCUGCCAAGAUCAGUUUCUACAUCAAAGGGAAGAAGGAGACGUUUUCCUUCAAGAACAAGACUACACAAAUAUUUAAUUGAACCAAGGAAGAGGACCAACAGGAGGAACAUGAACAAGCAAGUGUGGACCGAAUCAGCUAAGAUGGUCACUGCAGUUCAUGAAGGUCAAGAUCAUCGACUUAAGUCACCGUUUCUGACCAAGAAGGACGACCUAGGAAUGCCAACCAUUUAUUGCUCCAUCAAUGGGUACAACUUCUACAAGAUGACUUGUGACACCGGAUCGGGCGUCAACAUAAUGGCCGCAGUCACCUAUUGGCUCCUGUUCGGAACCAUGCCCCUAAAACCCAACAUACAUCAUCUCCACUUGAGUAGAUCUUUAUAAAUGCUCUCAUGCUACCUUAUUUGCUUUAGUAUAUGUCUAGGUUUGGAGUAGUUUCUUUUGUCUCUUAAAUAAGCAUGGUGCUUAGUUUAGGAAUGAUGAUCUUACUUCCAAGGGAUUUUAAAUUAAGCAUGGUGCUUAGGUUAAAAUGCCCUCCUAAAUCAAAUUAGACAUGGUGUCUAGGUUGAUUUUUGAGCCGAUAGUAUGCUAUAGUAGAUAUUGGAUAUUUUGUUGGACUAAACCCUGCAGGAAAACUUUCAAUAUCGACCUGGGAAGUCCUGAGAUAAACUCACAUUGGAGAGAAAGAGAGAGAUACAUCAAGUUUAACAAUUUACACAAGAAAGGCGUAGCUCAUAAGGGAUGAUCCAUGGAGGGUGCCACAAACACGAUGCAUAACCGCUAUGAAAGGAAAGCUUCCACAAGGUGAUACUGUACCAUCACUCUUCAAGUAAGAUAACAUCUUAAGGUACUUGACUAUCACUUUUAUAAGCUUCUCCUUGGUUCUGGCGUUCAUGUGAAUAAAAGAGACAAACAUGUAUGAUUUACAACUCUAGGUUAACCAACCCAAUCGAUUCAAUAUGUUUAGUCCUUCCACCUUUGUGAUCCCACACUACUAAUCAUAUGAGCUAAAAUGUUGCACACUCAAUCUUUGGAAGUUAUAUAAAAAAACAUAAACAUAGAUAGAUUAUCUUUCCAUAAGGUUGAGCAAUCUGAUCUGACAAAUAUUUUAAAUGCUACACUCAUGAUCUUAUUAUCCAUCAAAUUUGUCUUGCUCACUAUGCUUAAGGUUAGAGAAGAACAAAAACACUUUUGGUUAUAUUGGUGUUUUCCACCAACAGGGCCCAUGCACUUGAUCUCUGCAUUGUCUCUAUGAGCAGGUACACUUCGAGCAAAAUCUGAAGGAGUUUUACAACUCUCAGAUUCCACCAAGUGAAGGACUCGGAUCUAUGAGCACAAACACACUGAGCAGGAUACUGCCAAUGCCGCACCUUGAACUGCUGGACAAACGAAGAACAUGGGUGACACCAUAUCAAGAGGUGCAGAUGUCAAGGCACACACCCAAUCAAAUAAUGCACCUAAAGGAUGAACACGGUGAGAAGUCUUGUCCAGAAGACUGAAAACAUUGGAUCCUUGCCGGAAGGUAAAAUCGGUAUUUAUCCAUAUUUAUCUUUUCUGCAUUACUUUUCCUUUUUAUUCCAUCACUUGCAUUAGCAUAUUUACUUUUCCACAUUAGCAUUAGAAAACAAAACAAAAAUAUUUGUUCGUUGCACUGCAACAUAAAAUCUAAAGACCCAUGUGAGUAGACUUGUGGUUUAAAACCCAUAGGUAUAUUGACUGUGGUGGCAUAAAAUAAAUAUGUUUUCAUGUUACAAUAAAAAUAUAAAUAAUAAGUGCAUGAUCCCGCUAAAUAAAUAAAAUUUAUUAGGUGGAAUCUCAAUAUGAUAAAGGCUAAGAGAUUUUAUGCUAACACUUAACCAGUUCCACAAAGCUUUUUCGUCUAUUUGAGCUCUACAAAAUUCAAAGAUCAAAGAAGACUAGCCGACGGAGGACAUAUUAAUCGUUGUCAGGGUGCUGCCGACUUUCAAAUACACCUCUACCACCUCCUAGCCACAUCAAAAGAAAUUAUGUCAAAAUUCAACUUGGGGGAGAGCACCCCCAUUUAUCCCGCUAAGUAUUUCUAUCUAUCUUUAUACUUAUACUAUAUUAAAAUAUAGAUUUACAUAACUAUGGAAAACCAAAUAAAGAUUAUGUGCUUAUACAUAUCCUUUGCUUAGUUUGUUUAAUAAAUAAAUAAAGUGGCUAUGCUAAACUGAAUCCUAAAUAAUAAAAAUCUAGCAUGGAUAUCAUGAAUAGUUGCUCUGCCUAAUUUUUAAAAUUUGAAGUUCUCUCUCAAGUUUAGACAUAACUGUUAUAAUUUAAAGCUUGCUCUAAACCUAAACUUGUGGGAAGAAAACGUGAUGUGAAGUCUAAGUUGUUAACGGAUAUGAUAUGGGAAGGUAGAGCUGGUGUUUAUCUGUUCCUGGAGAUGCUAGAAUUCUGGAGAAUUUUAUCUUUGAAAAAUCUUUAAAAUAUUGCAUGAUGAGUUCCUGUAUGAUGAGAGUUUAAAUUCCUACCACAUCCAUAUAUACAUGCUUGCUAGACUUUGAGCCACACAUUUACUUUUUACUGCUUAUGAGCAUUGAGUGUGGUCAAGCUAUGUAGACCCUUAGGAGCUUGUCAUGUGGUUAAUUCAAGAUUCACUUGCACGUUCACUCACACAUGCUGCUUCUACUCCAGAAGUACGCAUCCACAUAUAUCCACUCAUUACUAUCUCCAGAACCACCCAAAAAUAUUCUACUCCUAAUCCGGGAGAGAAUAGCCAAAAAUAUUUCUAUUUUUCCCCUGAGAAAUAAAUGCUCAAGUUAUCUUGUUACUACCACUUGCUAUAUUAUUUCAAGAGAUGAGUGCUCUAUAAAAAAAGAGAGAAGAUACGAGGAAAUAAAAAGGGGCAAGUGCUCGGAACCUCAAAAAAAAUGAAAGAAAAAGUGAGACGAGAGGUAAAAAUGGACAAGUGUCCGACAGUAGAAUUAGGGGUACAAGAUACCCACCUAAGAGGAAAGAAAAAGAAAAGAUAGAGCAUCUCAUUUUCCUCAAAAAGUUUCAAAGAGCAAGAAAGGUAUGUAUCCCCUCAAAGAGGAAAAGUAGAAUUAGACUUUCACCAUUGUUAUCACCAUCAUCACCAUACACCAUUCAUUUGCCACACAUGCACAUCUUGAUUUGACUUAUUGAUUUGUUUCUUUGGAUCCAUGAUUUGACUAUACAAUAAAUGUCUUGUAAGUAUGUAUACUUUAUCUCCCACCUAUGAGCUCCAGAUAUUAAAGUCUUAUUAGAGUAGGAUGAGAAAGGAGGCAAUGUCAUUAUGCCUUAUACCACAAAUACUACAUAUCUUGAGAGAAGGCAAAUACCAUUACUGUCUUGGUAAGGAUCUAGAAAUACCACAAAAGAGAGAUUUGAGAGAGUCAUACAAGGAAUCUCUGAGUUUUAUUUGAAAAUCUACAAAAACUCCAGAGCUAUAGCUGAUCAAGAAUAAGAGACUGUUGGGUAUUUUAAACGCAAAUAGAAAAAUCCGCAAGCGCAUGGAUACCGAUGUAGCUUUCACCCGGGAGUAUUCCAGAGUAUCGAUUUUCCACAGGGAACGUGAGUGUACUAAUUAAGAUUCAAGAUCGCCCAAGGAUAACUAUAUAAUUAUUUUUGGUGGGAAGAAAGGAAGUUUCCUGAGAGUUCUCUAGUUGAUCUAAGAAUCAAGAAUUACUUCAAAGAUUAUUUAUUUUGGGACAUCAGAACACUAACCACAGAAAGAGAUGAGAAGGGGCCUAGGAAGCUCUGACUACGGUCCUACAAACACUGAUCCGAACGAGGUGGAAUACAUCGACCGUUAGGGCUGUCACUACCCUAGGGCUACCACAACAAUCCGCAGGAUUGGGUGCAAUUCCAGGUAAUUGCAAGACUAAACACCACGUAUAAUCUAUUAAUUACUACUCUAAUUGUCGAGGGUAUCAACGAGGGGUACCCUCACCAAUGCGUAUAACGAAGCCAUCCGUACACACGUGCGGCCAUCGAUGGUCGCAGCCUCGAAGACGGAAAUAGCGUCGAGCGAAUCGGUCAGGGCUCGAGCGACAACUGCCGUCGAAUACGGAAGCGGGCUCGAGCGAACCGAGAGGCGUCGAGCGCAAGGACACUGUCUGCCGCCUGACGCGCGCACGAGAGCCAGGGCAUUAAAUGCACCUGACGCUUCCCCACCUAACACACGGGUCACGGAAGGCGUGAUAGGGAACAGGCUUCUGUCCCAUCGUUCUUUUUGCAGCCUUCCCACCGAACGACCCAGGGCGUGUCAGGACGCAGGAAACAAGGAUGGAACGUCUAAUCGGGACCCCCUCGAGACACCCAAGGUCAGCGCUCCAGAUAUCAGCAUAUUACACGGCGUCUGACCCUCGACCGAACAGGGUCCCUUCCUAGGGACAAGUUGGGCGUCGACUGACAACACCACAGCUACCCCGCCGGAUCCGCCGCCAUACCGUACAAGCAUGCGACCUCAGAACCAGCGCGAGGCGGCGGGCAGGGCAGAACGCAGGAGCACGCGUAAUCAUCACCGGGCUAUCAAGAUGGGACGGCUCGAGGUCGUGCCGUACGGAAGCCUCGAGUAGGUCAGCACUCCAUGCGGCUAUCGACCCCUACUCUAACAUCUACGCAUGUACCCUGUGUCUCUCCUUGGAGCUAUAAAAGGAGAGACUCAGGAAUAGAAGAGGAGGACGACAACACAAGACCACACUCAUACGUAGUAGAGCUCCACACUUCAUACCACGCUUGUAUUCGCCCCUGUACAAGCACUUAGGUGCAAGAUAAUACAAACUCUCUCCCCCCGCUGGACGUAGGGCCUUCUCUUGCCCGAACCAGGAUAAAUCUCUGCGUCUUCUUGCAUCACCAUCCGGGAAAGGGAGCACGCAUACAAAUUUACUCGUUGGUGUGACCCCCCGGGGGGAAAACACCGACAGUUGGCGCGCCAGGUAGGGGUCCUGCGUGUUUUUGAUCGAUUUCCCACUCCUUUCCGGAUGGCUACUCUUGCCUCGCCGUUUCCGCGCUCCACGGUGAUUUGGUUUGGGAGUCUCGAGUUCAUGUCUACGGGCUCCGGCUACGACAUGAUCUUGCUCUCAGUCAAAGGACCAGGAGGAGCCCGCGUUACGCCAGCACGGUUGAAAGCCCCGAGACGCCCUCACCACCACGCCUCCCCGCCUAAGAAGAGGCACGGACAGCACCACCGCGGCACCUCUACUUCAGCACGACCAACAACUCGUGCGAGGCAGGACGUGGGCCACAAGCCGGCAGCACCGUGUGACGGAGCAACAAGCGCGACGACUCAGCACCGCACGACGACGGGAGGGGACGCGUCUCGCGCGCUCUCCCCCACCGCAGCUAGGCUACUUCCACACGGGUUGUUCUCUCCAAGGGCGGCACUGCCGUUCGGGAUGGACAACGCCGCGGCGUCGCUCGCCAGAGCGAUAUGCCCAAACACCCAGACGUACGUAGAAAGACCAAUGGUCCUCCCACGUAGCUCUGAAGCGCGGCGGCCGGCGUCCGAGCUGCCGGACCUUUCCCGAGUACGAGGUCUCCGUCGUCUAGGCCCCGGACGAUACUCGAUCACCUCCCUCAGGCAACGAUUGCUAGAGGAAGGACGUGGGUGUUUCUACGCCGCCGAACCGGACUCCGACUCCGAGACAGAUAGCUAUGACCCUACGAGGGAAUGCUAUCACAUCGACGGGGCGGUAGAAACUACUGACGAGACACGGGAUGCUGCUGUGGGUGGUCGAGCCCCCGCGGCGCGAGAAGACCCCAGGACGCCUGGGGUCGACCCCCCCCUCAGGAAGACAGAACCGCGCAGCUCGCGCAGCUGCGGGAGGUCAAAAUGAAGCUCGACGAAGACCGCGAGCGCCUCGUCCUACUAGAGCAAAUCCUCGAGCAAGACCUGCCCUACCCGCCGAGCGGAAGUGUCCGCAGACGCGCUCGAGAGGUACAUCGACAGAUCGUCGGCGACGCAAAGCCAGAGCAACCUGUCAGCCGUUUCCCUCGAGCAGGCCAGAAUGUAGUGGCAGCGACGAUGCUGCUACGUAACAUGCCAGAGCCGUCGAAUUCCCAGGCCCGACGUAUUCGAGAUGAAGUACAGACAUUGCUCCAGGUGGCGGCAGUUCAACAAGCCGAAAGUUCGGCGUCUCGACGACGAGAAGCUGCCACAGAGAAGCGCGACGAACAGCCUCUAAACGAAGAGGAGGUGUCAGUCCAUCAACAACCUCCCCCUCGAGGUAGAAAGACCACUCUCAUCCUCCCUGUCGACAAUCAACGUCGACACGACACGCGGCACGACAUCAAAGAAAAUCGACGCCGCCGGCACGGAGACGCGGAAGAGCGUGGUUAUAGCGCGCAUCGCGGUGGGAGAUACGACAGCGACGAGGACCGGGUGGCCCCCGAGCCACCGGGCCCACGGGUGUUCAGCAGGGCGAUCCGCAGCACGCCCCUGCCCAAUCCAUUUCGACCCCCAACCAGCAUCGCGAAGUACAAUGGAGAGACCAAGCCAGAGCUGUGGCUGGCCGAUUUCAGGCUGGCCUGUCAGCUAGGUGGCGCUCGAGGUGAUGAUCGAGCCAUCAUCAGACAGCUACCCCUUUUCCUCUCCGACACCGCCCGUCGAUGGCUCGAGGAACUCCCCGCCAAUCAGAUCCACAACUGGGUUGAUCUGGUCAGAGUCUUCGAGGGUAACUUCAAAGGGACCUACAUACGGCCAGGGAACUCGUGGGACCUCAGCAAGUGCAAGCAGAAGUCGGGAGAAACUCUUCGGGAGUAUGCUCGACGCUUCUCGAAGCAGCGCAUUGAGCUGCCGCACAUCCCUGACCACGACGUCGUCUUGGCGUUUGUCUCGGGCACCACCAGUCGAGACUUGGUGCGGGAAUUAGGUCGCAAUCGACCUCAGACCGUCGACGAGCUGAUGGACGUAGUAGCCAACUACGCGGCAGGGGAGGAGGCAGUCGGCGCCUUCUUCAGCUCAGAAGGAAGAAAAGGCAAGCAGCCCGUCGAUGAAGAUGGGACCUCCAGUCGAGGCCUCAAGAAAAAUAAAAAGAAGCAGAAAGUGCGGCAGUUCCACCGGGAGAAUUCCGAUGACAACCUUGUCGCCGCCAUGGAUCGAAAGAAGCCUCGAGGCCCUCCGGAUGGAGGCAUCUUCGACAAGAUGUUGGAAGAGCCGUGCCCUUACCAUAAGGGAGGCGCCAACCACAAGCUCAAAAACUGUCGUAUGCUGAGAAGGCAUUUCGACGGUCCGGGGUUCAAAAAAGAUACGCGUGAUGACUCCAAGAAAGAGAAGGCUGGCAGCAAGGAGGACAACAAAGAUGACGACGGCUUCCCCGCCGUCCACGACUGCUACAUGAUCUAUGGCGGGCCCUCGACUCAAUUAACCAUGAGGCAGCGCAAAAGGGAGCGUCGCGAAGUCUUUGCAGCAAGAAUGGCGGUGCCCCAAUACCUUAGUUGGUCAAGCACUCCUAUCACUUUCGACCGAGAGGACCACCCCGACAAGGUAGUCGCCCCGGGCGUCUACCCGCUCGUCGUCGACCCCAUCAUCAUCAACACCCGACUCUCGUAAGUGCUAUUGGAUGGUGGCAGCAGCCUCAACAUCAUCUACCUCGAGACCCUCGACCUCCUCGGCAUCGAUAGAGGACGCCUCCAGCCGAGCGCCGGCGGUUUCCAUGGCGUCGUGCCAGGGAAAAAGGCACUGCCAGUAGGUCGAAUUGACCUACCGGUCUGCUUCAGCACGGCGGCCAACUUCAGGAAGGAGACCCUCACCUUUGAGGUGGUUGGGUUCCGAGGCACGUACCACGCCAUCAUCGGGCGCCCGGGCUACGCCACGUUCAUGGCUAUACCCAACUACACCUACUUGAAGCUGAAGAUGCCCGGUCCCAAAGGCGUCAUCACUGUCAGUUCCUCCUUUGAGCAUGCGUACGAGUGCGACGUCGAGUGCGUCGAGUACGGGGAGGCGGUCGAGAACUCCACCGAGCUCGUCGCGAAGCUCGAGGCCCUGGCCACUGAGGCUCCAGAGCCUAAGCGCCACGCAGGCAGCUUCGAGGCGGCGGAAGGAACCAAGAAGAUCCCGCUCGACCCCAACAACUCCGACGGCAAGGUGCUGACGAUCAGCACCGACCUCGACCCCAAAUAGGAAGCCGUGCUCGUCGACUUUCUCCGUGCAAAUGCUGAUAUGUUUGCAUGGAGUCCCUCGGACAUGCCAGGCAUACCGAGGGAAGUCGCCGAGCACUCCUUGGAGAUUCGAGCCGGUUCCAAGCCAGUGAAGCAGCGGUUGCGCCGAUUCGAUGAGGAGAAGCGCAAGAUCAUUGGCGAGGAAGUCCACAAGGUUUUGGCGGCCGGAUUCGUCAAGGAGGUUCAUCAUCCUGACUGGUUAGCAAACCCUGUAUUAGUUAAGAAAAAGAAUGGGAAAAUGAGGAUGUGUGUCGAUUAUACUAGUCUAAAUAAAGCAUGUCCGAAAGUUCCCUUUCCAUUGCCACGCAUUGAUCAGAUUGUCGAUUCUACCGCGGGAUGUGAAACCCUUUCUUUCCUUGAUGCAUAUUCUGGUUACCACCAAAUAAAAAUGAAGGAGUCCGACCAGCUCGCGACCUCUUUCAUCACGCCUUUUGGGAUGUAUUGCUACGUGACCAUGCCAUUUGGGCUUCGAAACGCGGGAGCCACGUAUCAACGUUGCAUGCUCCACGUAUUUGGCGAACAUAUAGGGUCAACGGUCGAGGCCUACGUCGACGACAUUGUCGUCAAGUCAAAGCGAUGAGGAGACCUGAUCUAGGACCUCGAGAUUGCCUUCAGCUGCCUACGCACCAGCCAGAUCAAGCUCAAUCCCGAGAAGUGCGUUUUCGGCGUGCCUCGAGGCAUGCUCCUAGGAUACAUCGUUUCGCAGCGCGGUAUCGAGGCCAACCCCGAGAAAGUCUCGGCCAUCACGAAAAUGGGGCCAAUCCGAGACAUCAAGGGUGUGCAGAGAGUCACGGGGUGCCUGGCGGCUCUAAGCCAUUUCAUCUCGAGACUAGGAGAAAAGGCAUUACCAUUAUAUCGACUCCUAAAGAAGGUCGAGCGCUUUUCUUGGACCCCUGAGGCCGAGGAAGCACUCGAAAGGCUGAAAAAGACGCUGACCUCGGCACCAGUCCUGGUUCCACCUCAACCUGCAGAGCCGCUGCUCCUCUACGUCGCGUCGACGACCCAGGUCGUCAGCGCGGCGGUGGUGGUUGAGAGGCAGGAGGAGGGACAUGCGUUACCGGUUCAGAGGCCAGUAUAUUUCGUCAGCAAGGUGCUUUCGGAGACUAAAGCACGUUAUCCCCAAAUCCAGAAGCUGAUUUAUGCCGUAAUCCUUGCCCGUCGCAAGCUGCAGCAUUACUUCCUUGGCCACCCCAUCACGGUGGUCUCGUCUUUUCCUUUAGGCGAAAUAAUCCAGAGCAAAGAAGCCACGGGAAGAAUAGCAAAAUGGUCGGUCGAGCUCAUGAGUGAGACUCUCACUUAUGCGCCUCGCAAGGCCAUCAAAUCGCAGGCCCUGGUAGACUUCAUCGCAGAAUGGACGGACACCCAGCUCCCCCCGACCCAGGUCCAGGCGGAACUAUGGACGAUGUAUUUCGAUGGGUCGCUCAUGAAAACUGGAGCCGGAGCCGGCCUGCUGUUCAUCUCACCCUUGGGCGUCCACAUGAGGUACAUAAUCAGGAUUCAUUUUGCUGCAUCUAACAAUGUCGCAGAAUAUGAGGCCCUCGUCAACGGUCUCAAGAUCGCUAUCGAGUUAGGAGUCCGACGCCUCGACGUCCGAGGUGACUCCCAACUCGUCAUCGACCAAGUAAUGAAAACCUCGAGCUGCCACGACCCAAAAAUGGAAGCGUACUGCAAGGAGGUCCGUCGACUCGAGGACAGGUUCCACGGUCUCGAGCUUGUCCAUGUCGCUCGACGCUACAACGAGGCAGCCGACGAACUCGCCAAGAUCGCAUCUACCAGAGGCACAGUGCCGCCUGAUGCAUUCUCAAAGGAUCUUCACGAGCCAUCCGUCGACCUAGGCACGGGGGCUGGCGUCGACGCCACCACCGCCCAACCAACCAAUGCUGUCGAUACGCUCUUGAUGGUGGAAGAGAUGAUGGAGAUAGAACGACGACCGGGUCGACCAUUCGAUUGGCGCACACCGUUCCUCGACUGCCUUAUCCGCUGCGAGUUGCCAGAAGACAAGACAGAAGCUCGUCGUAUCGCUCGAUGGGCCAAAUCAUAUGUGAUCUAUGGCGAAGACAACGAGCUAUAUCGACGGAGCCCGACGGGGGUCUUACAACGUUGCAUCACCAUAGAAGAAGGCCGAAAACUCCUCGAUGACCUGCACUCGGGGGCUUGUGGCCACCACGCCGCUCCACAGACCCUUGUAGGGAACGCUUUUCGGCAAGGCUUCUACUGGCCAACGGCCGUGGCGGAUGCCAUCGAGCUCGUACGCUCGUGUCAUGGGUGCCAGUUCUACGCCAAGCAGACGCAUCUGCCCGCCCACGCUCUUCAGAUGAUCCCCAUCACCUGGCCGUUUGCGGUAUGGGGGCUCGAUUUAGUAGGACCUCUACAAAAGGCGAAAGGAGGAUACACCCAUUUGCUGGUGGCCAUUGACAAGUUCUCAAAAUGGAUCGAGGCUCGACCCAUCACCAACAUCCGCUCCGAGCAGGCCGUCCUCUUCUUCACCGACAUCAUCCAUCGGUUUGGGAUCCCCAAUGUCAUCAUCACCGACAACGGCACCCAGUUCACCGGCAGAAAGUUCUUGGAUUUCUGCGAUCAGCAUCAUAUCCGUGUGAACUGGUCUGCAGUAGCCCACCCUCGAACUAACGGCCAGGUCGAGCGUGCCAACGGCAUGAUUUUGCAAGGACUCAAGCCAAGGAUCUACAAUCGAUUGAAGAAAUUCGGCAAGAAAUGGGUCGAGGAGCUUUCCUCAGUCCUAUGGAGCCUUAGGACAACGCCAAGCAGGGCCACCAAAUACACCCCGUUCUUCAUGGUCUACGGCUCUGAGGCUAUCCUCCCCACAGACCUCGAGUAUGGGUCACCUCGACUCAAGGCUUACAACGAGCAAUCGAACAAAGAAACUCAAGAAAACGCGGUCGACCAACUCGAGGAGGCUCGAGACAUGGCCCUCCUCAACUCUGCCAGAUAUCAGCAGAGACUCCGACGCUACCACGACAAGCACGUGCGCAAGAGGGACCUCAACGUAGGCGACCUUGUCCUACGACGCCGGCAAAGCAACCAAGGACGCCACAAGCUGACUCCACCUUGGGAAGGCCCGUAUGUGGUGGCCGAGGUCCUUAAGCCAGGAACAUACAAAUUGGCGGACGAAAAGGGGGCAAUCUUCACCAACGCAUGGAACAUCGAACAGCUACGUCGAUUCUACCCCUAGAAGUCCUAAACUUACGUUCCUACAUUUUGUACGAAGACUUUGUAAACGAACGUGUGAAUAAAUAAAGUCUUUCUCUCGAGUGACUUCUUUUUGUGCCAAAAAUAGUUACGAGUCAUAGUCUUGACGUUAAAAGGGGAUGCCGACCAUGACCCAUCAUAGUCAGCACCCCCUCGGGGGCUACCAGGGGGACGACCCCCCCCCAAGCGUCGAAAAAGCCAAGAAAUUUUCUUUUCUUACUUAGUAAACCUUGCACGGUUCGAGUAGCUAAGGCGCCUCGAGCCCCUCAAAGGCCGAGGGAUAACGAGCCGGAGAACUCCCACGCCCCCGGGCUACGGAAACUCUACUCACUUCCUCACCCUUGAGGUAACCGAGGUUGUUUUUGACGAAAGAUCGAGCAAGGAAUACAAACGUAGGAACAAAGAGAAACAAAAGAACCUCGAGCGGAAAGACAAAUAAGCAUUUAACAAUCACAAAAAGAUACUGUAUCACCUAAUAGCAGAAUUAAUAAAGUAUCAUACAAGGGGCCUCAGGCGCCCUGAGCAGGCUCGCAGGCCUCAGUCCGCGGCACGAUCCUCACCGCCCUCGCCUCCGCCCGAGCUAGCCUCAGGAGGGAGCACCUCAGGCUCGAAGAGCUUGGCCAACCUUUCCCCAGGAGCCUCCGCGUCGUCGAUCAAAGCAUGAAGCCUCUCCUCGUUCUCCGCGUCGGUCUUAGAGAUGUCGGUGACGAAGCCAUGGGACACCACCUCCAUGUCGUAGGAGAAGCCCGAGCAGACAACCGCCAUCGCCCGCUUCACUCCGAUGUGGAGGGCGUCCAGCACCCGAUCUCGUAGCGUCGCGCCUAUGUAGCACAACUGGUCGACCAGGGCGUCGCCUCGAGCGUCCUCCCUCGACUCAUCCAUAGGCUCGACCUCCCAAGAGGUCGAGAGAUCACUUAUCACCGUCCGCACUCGACGGUUCAAAGCAACCUUCGCCUCGAGCAGAGCCUUGGCGUUGCGAGCCUCGGCUUGGGCGGCCAGGAGUUCGUCCUUGAGCCCUGUAAAAGCCAAUAUAAAGAGACCUUAGGAAAAACCAAGCACACCUCGAAAAAGAAAUUCGACAAAGGAAACAUACCUUUGAUGCUCUCCUCUAGGGCUGUGUUCUCGCCGACCAAUCUGGUGUUGGCACGCUCGAUCUCUCUGUUGGAGCGCGCCAGCCUGAGCAACGGCUCCACUCUUCUCCAGCAAUUCUCCCUUCAGACGCUCGACGUCGUCAGAGAGACUGCGGGAUCGAGCCCGCUCCGCCUCGAGGUCUUCGAGGGCCUCCUUCUUUACGUCCUCGGCGGCACCCCUUGCGACCUCACUGUCCACGUACGCCACUUUCAUCUUCUGGAAAGAAUCGCGGAGGGAGUCCAGGUCGGUCUUGAGAAGGCCCUUCUCCUUGUCCAGGUCCGCAAUGACGCUCUUGUAGGACAGGGCCACCUCCCGGGCUCUGGACGCGGCCUCCUCGACCGUAAGAGCCCGCUCUCGUAGCUGCAUCGAAAGAUAUAUAAGUAGAGCUUUAAAAGUUUUAGCAUACUUACUUUGCAUUUUGCUAUGUCAAUGCUCGAAGCAAGGGAAACAAAUGUCAUACUCCUAGAUCAAGACCUUUGACUUUUUUGAAAAGUUUGUCAUCUCUUACUAGCAUAUUGCUUAUUAGAGGGACCAUGGGCUAUCAUUUUGUUUUCUUUCUUUUUCUUCUUCUUUUUUUAAGUCUUUUUUCAAGUGGGCACCAAGUACCCCUAAUUCUACUGUCGGACACGUGUCUAUUUUUUUCACUCAGGUGGGUAUCUUUGUACCCCUAAUUCUACUUCAAACACUUGUCCAUUUUUACAUCUCGUCUCACUCUUUCUUUUGAAUCAAAUUUUUGCAUAGUCCCAUGCCUCUAAUGCAAUAAUACUUUGGAAGAGUGAAUCUUUUAUAUUUAUAAAAACAAAAAGAUCUUGAUCUUUAGAGCAUGAUAAUUCUCUCAACCAAAACUACAAGAAUUAACAAUGGCUUGAACAAAGAAAGUGCCCACAGUUUUAACAUUUAUAUCUUAUAAGACUCUAGGUACUAUGUCAAACAGGAUCUCAUCAUCAUUUUUUUAUUAUGAAUUUUUAGAUUUUCAGAAGAUAAAAUCUCCAGAACUCUAGCAAUACUCGGAACAAGUUAAAUAGUAGCUUAGGCCUUCUCAUAUCAUGUUUGUCAAUGUUGACUAUCCUUAAUGCUCACAUUUAUCCAUCAACUAAUCAUGGAAAAGGAUCCAAAUGCAACUAACACCUAGACUUAGGGUUUUAUCUGAAAGAAUUCCAUGAGUUUUGGUGUUUGUCUAUUUCUACAGGGGGUUAUCAGGAAAUACGGAAGAAAGGCCCACACGUCGGGUUUAUAUAGAGAUAUUAACGUGCCGCGCAAUUUUCUACCAUCUAGAAAACUCCAGAAGCCACGAGAACCAACGGGAAGGAAAUUGGGCUCGGAGGCAGGGCGCCCGCCGAACUCUCCUGGGCGCCCGCCCAGCUACAGUGCCCAAUCAGGACACGUUUCGCGGAUUAUGCUCCACCGACCUAAAGGAUCAAGGAAAACCGUGCGAUCAAUGUCGGUUUGAUCCGACGGCCCAGAUUCACUUGAAGGGACUAUAAAACCAGACCCCCUGGCCCCUGGAGAUCAUACCUCUUCUACAGAAUCAAAGCUAUGGUUUCAAUUCUUCAUCCAAGUAGAGAGGAUCCCUCUAGUUCUUCUAGUUCUACCUCUAGUUCAUCUAGAUCUAGUUCUAGUUCAUCUAGUUCUAGUUCUAGUUCCUCUAGUUCUAGUUCUAGUUAGUUCUAGUUGUAAUCUAGAAAAUAGGUAGAGAGAAGAGGAGAGCGGAGGAGGAGGAGCCGGAUCUGUCGGAUCUUCCUCAACAUUGUACUUUUGCAGCAACUGGUUCGUUCUUCAUCGUUCUCCAGGUUCUUCAAUUCAUAAUUCCUGAGUUCUCUAAUUACUUUUAUUUACAUUCAAGUUAUUUAUUGGAAUCCCGCUUGCAUCAAGUGCUCUAAUCUUUGAAACAUUAGAGUAGUAAUUAAUAGAUUAGACGUGGUGUUUAGUCUUGCAAUUACCUGGAAUUCCACCCAAUCUUGCGGAUUGUUGUGGUAGCCUUAGGGUAGUGACAGCCCUAACGGUCGACGUAUUCCACCUCGUUCGGAUCGGUGUUUGUAGGACCGUAGUCGGAGCUUCCUAGCCCCCUUCUCAUCUCUUUCUGUGGUUAGUGUUCUGAUGUCCCGAUAUAGAUAAUCUUGAAGUAAUUCUUGAUUCUUAGAUCAACUAGAGAACUCUCAGAAAACUUCCUCUCUUCCCACCAAAAAUAAUCAUAUAGUUAUCCUUGGGCGAUCUUGGAUCUUAAUUAGUACACUCACGUUCCCUGUGGAAAAUCGAUACUCUGGAAUACUCCCGGGUGAAGGCUACAUCGGUAUCCGUGCGCUUGCGGAUUUUUCUGUUUGUGUUUAAAAAACCCAACAAGCUUUCUGGCGCCGUUGCCGGAGAACGGUAGCUGUGCUAGUUUCGAAACAAGUCGUCCGUGUAUCCUUUUUUCUUUUCUUUUUUUUUACCACACUCACCUUACCAUUUUCACCAUACCACAUGGAAUUCACUCUAAGCAUUAAUGAGCAUGGAAUUUAUUUCAUAGCCACUUCAUUUACUCCAUGCUCAUAUGCAACAUCUUCACAAUCCAUUGGUCUCUCCAACAUCACCACAUUCGAGAUCUCCAACCACCACUUCCUUUCUAUUUAUAAUUACUUUAAAAGGCCGGCUGUCGAUGCAUAUGUCUAUAAUAAAUUUUGCAGAUCUCGUUGAGUUGAUCUUGAUAUAGGUCAGCGUUAGAGGUGAAACCACUUCACUGACAUAAAAUUGAUGGUUUCCCAAGGACAAGCUUAGUGUCCUAAAACAAGCACUGAUCAGAUUGUAACAUGAGCUUUUAAUUAUUUGCAACAUUACCUUGUGUGUUGAGCAUAUAAGGAUAAUUGUAAAAAUCUUCCUUCGGGUAUUUUUGUCACUAACCUUUCCAGGAUUGGAGCAAGAAGAUCGGAUGAAUGACAAGCACAAGGUAUGUCCAACCAAUCAUCAUACAACAUUGAAUUAAAUUCAUCGAAACUUGAAUUUUGCAAAGUUCAAGCUUGGGGGAGUACUUUACAUAAAAUAAAUCCUUUGCCAUGUUGCUAUGUUGGUUGUCCGUACCUUUGAGACAUGCUCAAUUUGUUAAAUACUAAUCACACUACUUCAUCUCCACUUGAGUAGAUCACUAUAAAUGCUCUCAGGCUACCUUUAUUUGCUUUAGUAUAUGUCUAGGUUUGGAGUAGUUUCAUUUAUCUUUUAAUUAAGCAUGGUGCUUAGUUUAGGGCUCAUGAUCUUACUUCUAAGGGAAUUUAAAUUAAGCAUGAUGCUUAAGUUAAAAUGCCCUCCUAAAUCAAAUUAGAUAUGGUGUCUAGGUUGAUCUUUGAGCCUAUAGUAUGCUAUAGUAGAUAUUGGAUAUUUUGUUGGACUAACCCCUGCAGGAAAACUUUCAAUAUCGACCUGGGAAGUCCUGAGAUAAAGUCACAUUGGAGACAAAGAGAGAGACGCAUGAAGUUUAACAAUUUACACAAGGAAGGCAUAGCUCACAAGAGAUGAUCCAUGGAGGGUGCCACAAACAUGAUGCACAACCGCUAAGAAAGGAAAGCUUCCACCAGGUGAUACUAUACCAUCACUCUUCAAGUAAGGUAACAUCUUAAGGUACUUGACUAUCACUUCUAUAAGCUUCUCCUUGGUUCUGGCGAUUGCAUGAAUAAAAGAGACAAACAUGUAUGAUUUACAACUCUAGAUUAACCAACCCAAUCGAUUCAACAUGUUUAGUCCUUCCACCUUUGUGAUCCUACACUCCUAAUCAUAUAAGCUAAAAUGUUGCACCUUCAAUCUCUGGAAGAUAUAAACAAAACAUAAAUAUAGAUAAAUUAUCUUUCCAUUGGGUUGAGCGAUCUGAUCUGACAAAUGUUUUAACUGCUACACUCAUGAUCUUAUUAUCCAUCAACUUUGUCUUGCUCACUAUGCUUAAGGUUAGAGAGAACAAAUACACUCUUGGUUCUGUUGGUGUUUUCCACUAACAGGGCCCAUGCACUUGAUCUCUGCCUUGUCUCUAUGAGCAGAUACACUUCGAGCAAAAUAUGAAGGAGUUUUUCAACUCCCAGACUCCACCAAGUGAAGAACCUAGAUCUACGAGCACAAACACACUGGAGAUACUGGACACUCAGGCAAUCACUGCCCUGUGAUGCUUGAGGACGUAACUACUGGAGUAACCCUGUUGUGGAAGUAAUUACUGACAUUCUGCCGAUCAAUAGAUGCGAUCCAGGACGCCCCGUCAUCCCGAUCUCCAUCGGCAUGGUGGACUUCCCAGAAGCACUCUGCGACUUUGGCUCCAGCGUCAACAUUAUGCCCAGGGUACUCUAUGAAAAAUUCUUUACACAUCCUUUAUUAGAAACAGCCAUGUGUUUGCAGCUUGCAGAUCAUACGCUAAGUUUCCCAAAGAGAAUAUUGAAGAACCUCUACGUCCAAGUUAGUACCUUCUAUGCCCCAACAGACUUCGUGGUGAUAGAGACUGAUACUGAUGAGAGGACACCCAUCAUCCUAGGGAGGCCAUUCCUGAACACCUCGGGAGCUGUCAUCUACGCUAGUGCUGCUAAGAUCAGUUUCUACAUCACGGGGAAGAAGGAGACAUUUUCCUUCGAGAACAAGACUACACAAAUCUCAUAGCAAUCCUGACAUGAACCAAGGAAGAGGAUCAACAGGGGGAACAGGAACAAGCAAAUGUGGACUGAGUCAGCUAAGAUGGUCACUGCAGCUCAAGGAGGUCAAGAUCGUCAACUCAAGUCGCCUUUCUUGAUCAAGAAGGACGACCCUGGUGUUCCAAGCAUCGAGCGCACAAUGAACGGAUAUUCUUUUCAGAAGACACUCUACGACACCGGAUCUGACGUCAACAUAAUGGCCGUAGUCACCUAUCAGCUUCUGUUCAGAACCAUGCCCCUAAAACCGACAUACAUUCAGCUCUAGAUGGCAGAUCAGACAUUCCGAAAAGUUAUUGACAUAGGAGAAGACGAGUUAUGAUCCACCCAUCAUCCUUGGGAGAUCGUUUCUCAACACCGUUAAAGCAAUCAUCUACAUUGAAACCAGAGAAGUCCACAUGCACUUCCCCUCUCAGAAGGUACGUCACUGUUUUACUGACCCUAACUAUAUAGUUGAAGACUCUAAGCAGGUCAGGACAAGAAGAAGAUGACGCAACCAUAACCAGAGGAGGAAAAUCAUCAAGGAUGGAUGGGCAGACUACGAAGGAGAAGUGAUAAGGUCUGAAGACAUACAGCUUGAACAGAACUAUCCUGAGGAGACCAUAGCACCGAGUCAGGUGUGUAGAGAGAAGAUAGUUAUACAUGAAGACCAGGCGACGCUGGAACCCCCGACUACGCCAUCCAGCGAAUCCCAGGACGACUAAGAAAACGGAGGGUCCCGUUCGGAGGACUCAAAAACACCGAACGCCUUGCCAAGAGGUAAACAUGGUAGUUAUCUUUUUCCUUUCAAUUUUUUAAAAUAGUUUACUUAGUUAAUCAGGUUCAUAUCGUCUUGAAAAAAAAAAUGUUAAAGAAUAGUAAGCCCCAUGUGAGUAUGCUCAUGGCAUAAAACCCAUAAGUACAUUCACUGUGUGGCAUAAAAAUAAAAUAAAUAUUUUCUCUGCUCUAUAAAAUGAAAAUAUAAAAAUAAAUUUAUGAUCCUACCAAAGAGUGUAACAUUUAUUGAGGAAGCUCAACAUGAUAAAGGCUAGAUAUUUAUGCUAACACUUAACUAGUUCCACAAAGCUUUGUUGUCUAUUUGAGCUCCACAGAAUUCAAGGAUCAAAGAAGACUAGCAGACGGAGGACUGCCAACAUUCAAAUACACCUCCGCCACCUGCUACAUCAAAAGGAAUUACGUCAAAAUCCAGCUUGGGGGAGAGCACCCCCAUUUAUCCAGCUAAGUGUUUCUACUCACAUUUAUACUUUACUCAAAUAAUAAAAAGAUGCAUAAUCAUAAAAACCCAAAUAGAGAUUUUGUGUUUAUAUAUAUAUCUUUGCUUAGUUUGCUAAAUAAAUAAAUAAAUAAAAUUUGCUAUGAACCCUCAUGAUAAUCUCUCACAUGGAACUGAUGAAUGAUUGCUCUGCUAUGACUAGUUCUUAAAUUGAAAUCUCUCUCAAGUUUAGGCAUGACUGGUAUUAAUUAAGAUUUGCUCUAAACCUGAACUUGUGGGAAGAGUACUUGAUCUGAAGUCUAUGUCGUUAACGGAUAUGAUAUGGGAAGGUUGAGCUACUGUUUAUCUGUUCCUAGAGAUGCUAGAAUUCUGGAGAAUUUUAUCUUUGAAAAUCUUUAAAAUGUUGCAUGAUGAGUUUCUGUAUGAUGAGAGUUUAAAUUCCUACCACAGCCAUAUAUACAUGCUUGCUAGACUUUGAACCGUACAUUUACUUUACUGCUUAUGAGCAUUGAGUGUGGUCAAGCUGUGUAGACCCUUAGGAGCUUGUCAUGUGGUUAAAUCAAGAUUCACUUGCACGUUCACUCAUACAUGCUGCUUCUACUCUGGAAGUACGCAUCCACAUAUAUCCAUCCAUUUCCAUCUCCAAAACCACCCAAAAAAAUAUUCUACUCCUAAUCUGGGAGAAAAUAGCCAAAAACAUUUCUAUUUCCCUCUGUGAAAUAAAUGCUCAAGUUAUCUUGGUUACUACCACUUGCUACAUUAUUUCAGGAGAUGGGUGCUCUAAAAAAUAAAAAUAAUAAUAAAUACGAGGAAAUAAAAAGGGGCAAGUGCGCGGAACCUCGAAAGAAAAGAAAAAAAGUGAGACGAGAGGUAAAAAUGGACAAGUGUCCGACAGUAGAAUUAGGGGUACAAGAUACCAACCUGAGAGAAAAGAAAAAAAAAGAGAGAAAAUAUAGAGCAUCUCAUUCUCCUCAAAAAGUUUCAAAAGAGCAAGAAAGGUAUGUAUCCCCUCAAAAGAGCGUAAGUAGAAUUAGACUUUCACCAUUGUUAUCACCAUCAUCACCAUACACCAUUCAUUCGCCACACAUGCACAUCUUGAUUUGACUUAUUGACUUGAUCUUCUGGAUCCAUGGUUUGACUAUGCAAUAAAUGUCUUGUAAGUAUGUAUAUUUUAUCUCCCACCUAUGAGCUCCAGAUAUCAAAACCUUAUUAGAGUAGGGUGAGAGAGAAGGCAAUGCCACUAUGCCUCAUACCAAAAAUACCACAUACUUUGAGAGAAGGCAUACACCAUUACUGCCUUGGUAAGGAUCCAGAAAUACCACAAAAGAGAGACUAGAGAGAGUCAUACAAGGAAUCUCUGAGUUUUAUUUGAAAAUCUGCAAAAACUCCAGAGCUACAGUUAAUCGAAGAACAAGAGACAUGGCACUUGACUAGACCGUUCUAUCUUUUAACUGCUCAAGACACAAGUGACGGUUGCAAGCCCCAUGAUGGAAGGUACAAUGGGUAAGUUUAAAUCUUAACAGUUUACCCUAACCCAGAGAUAAGAUCUUGUUUGAACCCAUGUGUAUCUUUAAGGUACGAAACCACUGCAGAAACUCUUGAGUUCAUCUUUGCUCAGGGACGAGCAAAGGUUAAGCUUGGGGGAGCUUGUUGAUGGUCCUUAAUGCUCACAUUUAUCCAUCAACUAAUCAUGGAAAAGGAUCCAAAUGCAACUAACACCUAGAGUUAGGGUUUUAUCUGACAGAAUUCCACGAGUUUUGGUGUUUGUCUAUUUCUGUAGGGGGUUAUCAGGAAAUACGGAAGAAAGGCCCACACGUCAGGUUUACAUAGAGAUAUUAACGUGCCGCGCAAUUUUCUACCAUCUAGAAGACUCCAGAAGCCACGGGAACGAAUGGGAAGGAAAUCGGGCUCGGAGGCAGGGCGCCCGCCCAACUCUCCUGGGCGCCCGCCCAGCUACAGUGCCCAAUCAGAACACGUUUCGCGGAUUAUGCUCCACCGACCUAAAGGAUCAAGGAAAACCGUGCGAUCAAUGUCGGUUUGAUCCGACGGCCCAGAUUCACUUGAAGGGACUAUAAAACCAGACCCCCUGGCCCCUGGAGAUCAUACCUCUUCUACAGAAUCAAAGCUAGGGUUUCAAUUCUUCAUCCAAGUAGAGAGGAUCCCUCUAGUUAUUCUAGUUCUACCUCUAGUUCAUCUAGAUCUAGUUCUAGUUCAUCUAGUUCUAGUUCAAGUUCCUCUAGUUCUAGUUCUAGUUAGUUCUAGUUGUAAUCUAGAAAAUAGGGAGAGAGAAGAGGAGAGCGGAGGAGGAGGAGCCAGAUCUGUCAGAUCUUCCUCAACAUUGUACUUUUGCAGCAACUGGUUCGUUCUUCAUCGUUCUCCAGGUUCUUCAAUUCAUAAUUCCUGAGUUCUCUAAUUACUUUUAUUUACAUUCAAGUUAUUUAUUAGAUUCCUGCUUGCAUCAAGUGCUCUAAUCUUUGAAACAUUAGAGUAGUAAUUAAUAGAUUAGACGUGGUGUUUAGUCUUGCAAUUACCUGGAAUUGCACCCAAUCCUGCGGAUUGUUGUGGUAGCCUUAGGGUAGUGACAGCCCUAACGGUCGACGUAUUCCACCUCGUUCGGAUCGGUGUUUGUAGGACCGUAGUCGGAGCUUCCUAGCCCCCUUCUCAUCUCUUUCUGUGGUUAGUGUUCUGAUGUCCUGAUAUAGAUAAUCUUGAAGUAUUUCUUGAUUCUUAGAUCAACUAGAGAACUCUCAGAAAACUUCCUCUCUUCCCUCCAAAAAUAAUCAUAUAGUUAUCCUUGGGCGAUCUUGGAUCUUAAUUAGUACACUCACGUUCCCUGUGGAAAAUCGAUACUGUGGAAUACUCCCGGGUGAAGGCUACAUCGGUAUCCGUGCGCUUGCGGAUUUUUUUGUUUGCGUUUAAAAUACCCAACAGUCAAUUACCUAGACUUGGAUCAAACUUUCUUUUUAUUUUAUUUAAAACUUAGGAUUACACAAAACUAUUUUAUAUUACUCAAAAGAAAAACUUUGUGUGGUUUCAUGAUUAUACCAUUUUUUUAUUUAUUUCUGAAUACUAGUAAAUAAAACCAAGAAAGAAAAGUAAUACUUAUCUAGAUACACGUGGGGUUGCCUGUAACAGAACCGUCCAAAUUAUUAGAGAUUAAGCCUAAUAGUGACCAUUUGCAGAGUCAAACCAUCGAGCUUAAACCCAUAUAAUCUCGGUAGUCCGUGAAAUCUCGAGGGAUUUCAAACCACAAUUCGUACAUACAGCCAAGAUCGUAAUAAGUUUAGCGGCCACCAUUCACAAUUACAUCCAGUUCACAACAUUCAUCAAUUACAUCAGAGUGCUUAAAAUUAUUACAAACCAAGUUCUCAAGUAGCGGAAGCUUCAUAGUUUGAAAGUAACACACACACAAAUUCAGUUCGAUACAGUGCCAUAGUUUGGUCAUUCCCGUAAAAGCAAAAGAGAAGAUAGAGUGACCAUCGCCCUUGGUCUAGUCAUCGCCCAUGGCUGGGUACAGGCACAGGAUGCAAUAACCAUAGUACAUUUGACCAUCUGCAAAACAACAUGGGAAUAGAUCCCUGAGUACGGGAAUGUACUCAGCUAGACUUAUCUGUCAUAAACCAAAAAUAAAGACUCUUCAAGGAUCAUGAGGACUGUAUAGUGGGGUAGCGGAGACUUUUUUGCAUAAAAGCAUUAUUCCCCUAAACAUAGUCUAGAGACCAUUCUUCUUUUAAUUAGCUCAAGUUUGAUAAUAUCAUUACCUAUUAUCUAGGUUUGCACCUGUACUAUUACAAGCAAGUGUAGUAAUAUGAUGGUACCUCGUCAUAGCAUUCAUAAAUCAUUUAUCAUCAUAACCCAAGUGUUCCAUAAUCCGUACUACGAGGAUAAAGCUCAUGUCAAGUGCUCACUAUCUAGGAGCGAUGGCGAUUCGAAUCGAUUUCGAACUAGCUGGCGAGUUAUUCCCCACACAAACCACACUCACUGAUCAAGUGAGCUACAGAUCACCGUGUUACACUAUCCAGGACCAAUUCGUAGAUUCGGCAGGCACCGCCAGUACCCGAGGACCGUUCCGGCGACCGAGGUAUCCAAGGUAUACCAAGGUUGCGCGUCGCGCCCUCGUCGUUCUCCUCAACCUUCACCAAUACAGCGCAUGGCGGCUUGACUCCCGGCUCGGAUAGUGUUCAGGCUUCGCGGUCGGAACGACUUAUCCUUCCAGCUAAGUGUGGGGCAUGCGUUCAACAUGACAAGAUAGCCGUCAACGAUCGGUCCUUAAUUGACACAGGCAGGGGCACUAUGAUCAACCCACUGUUGACGGUCCUUAAGUAUCAAAUUUAAUUAUCAAAUAAACAAAGAAAAGGAUCCAAAUGAAAUCAACGUCUAGACUUAGGGUUUUAUCUGACAGAAUUCCACGAGUUUUGGUGUUUGUCUAUUUCUGCAGGGGGUUAUUAGGAAAUAAGGAAGAAAGGCCCACAUGUCGGGAUUACAUAGAGAUAUCAACCCACCGCGCAAUUUUAUACCAUCUAGAAGACUCCAGAAGCCACGGGAAGGAAGCGGAGCCCGAAAGGGGCCAGGCCCAGGGCGCCCGCCCUGAGGACCUGGGCGCCCGCCCCCCUCUGGACUCCGUUCCGGACUCUCUUCGCACACGACGUUCCACCGACCUAUUGGAUCUAGAAUAACAUAGUACCACCUCGCCUAUCGACCCAAAAACGCAUAGAAGGGGAGGACUAUAUAAGGAGACCCCCUCUGGCCCCUGGAGGAGACAAGAAAUUAUCAUAGAGAUUGAGGGGUGCCCUCGAAGGAAAACCACUUCUCUAAAUAAUAAUUCUUUUUAGGCUUAGCAACCAAUGUAAAGUAGAAAUAGAUCUUCUAGUUUCUACUAGACUGAGAGAGAUAGAGUGGAGGUGUGGAUCGGAGGAAGACCGGCCUGUCGGUGUCUACUCCGAGUUGUACCUACGGGAUCAAGUCUCCUAACCCGAGGCUUGCUUCUAAGAUUCUUCAGUAAUUCGACUUCUAAUACUAGUAAGUUCUUGUUUUAUUGUUCUUUGGUUUAUGAGUUUACUUUAAUCCUCUUCCGGUUGAGUAUUAGAGUAAUCACUUGCUAGCGUAAACGUGGUGUUUAGGCUAGGGUACUCAUAGAUAUCCCCUGACUAGCUGGACCGUGGUAGUAGCGAGGAACUUGACAAUUCCGAGUUACCUUUGCAGAUCACAUCUCGUUAGCAGGACGGGUAGGGUUAUAGGUGCGGGUCGAACAUCCUUUGUGUUGUCUAGAUUCCGUGAGCCUCCCCAAUAGAACAUUAGAUCAUCCUUACCAAGGUUAGAACGAGACUACGGUUGCAAUCUUCUCUAUACAUCACUCACAUCGAGAGACAUUCUUUGUAGCCUAAAGGGGUAAUAGCAAUAGAUUUGGUUAGUCAGAUGCACCCUUUCUCCCAGUGGUAAAAAUAUAAAUACGAUAACUCUGGAUAACCUCCCGGGUGAAAUGCUCACCGAUAUCCGUGCGCUUGCGGAUCAUUUCCUUAUUGCGUUACCAAAUAUCAACAAGCAUUUCUGGCGCCGUUGCCGGGGAGAAAGACGGUUUGCUGAGAUAACUUUGAGUCUUGCUAUUAUCUUGUAUUAUACUUUUAUACUUUUAUCUUUUUAUUUUUAUCUUUAUGGAUAACUCAAAUUAUAUACCUAUUAUUAAAUUCUUUGCACCUUCGGAGACCAGCCAUAGACCAUGGGAGUCAACACGUCCUGCCCCUAAUUAUGAUCUGUGUCCGGAGUUGAUUGCAGUAGGUCAAAACCAACCCUUUUCUAUAGCCGAGGUCCUAUCUUUUAAUCAAGAAGAUAAUGCACUUUUAGCUACACCUAGGGAAUCUAUUAAUCUUUCUAUAAAUUCUUGUUUAGACCUAGCCCUACAAGACCAUGUUUUUCCUAGAUAUUUUCACAUUGGUCUUAAUCAUAUAACCUUUGGUAGAGUCCUUCUUUCUUUAUCUAUUAGUAAAGGAAGGUAUGUCUUCAUUCGUGGAUAUCCUUCUUGUACUAGUCUUCAUAGAAAAAUCUUAGAAAUAGAGAAGGAAUCAUCUCCCAGACGAGGAAAGGAAGUUUCAAUAGCCGAUUUCCAAACAUUUCAAUCCCAUAAUUCGGCUAUCCAUCCCAUCCUUGAGCUUAAUAAAUUCUACGAUGCUCUUUCUCUUAAACCUCCCGAUAAUCCUAUGAAUUUCUCUAGACAUCCCCUGCAUAAGAAGGAGGAUCGAGAAGAGCAACAUCAAUGGCUAGAGGGCAUUAAAAAUCCAUGUGCUAUCACCAUUGAAUGGAUAGAUAAAACAAACUUGAGAGACAAUCCUAGAGGAAUUUUAAGCAUUCAUGAAGAAUCAUCCUUGGAGUUUGAGAAUGAGCGAAACAACAGUGAGCAUGGAAGUUAUUUCAUCAAUACCUUACCAAGUCCUUGCUCAUAUAAAACAUCUCCCCAAUCAAUCGGUCUCUCCAUCAUCACCACAUUUGAGAUCUCCAACCCCCUCUUCCUUUCUAUUUAUAUAAACUUUAAAAGAGCGGUUGUCGAUGCAUAUGUCUAUAAUAAAUAUUGCAGAUCUCGAUAUAGGUCAGCGUUGGAGGGGAAACCACUUCACUGACAUAAAUUGAUGGUUUCCCAAAGCUUAGCGUCCUUAAACAAGCACUUAUCAGAUCAUAACAUGAACUUUUAAUUAUUUGCAACAUUGCCUUGUGUAUUGAGCAUAUUGAGAUAAUUAUAGAAAUAUUCCUUUGGGUAUUCUUGCCACUAACCUUUCCAGGAUUGAAGCAAGAAGAUCGGAUGAAUGACAAGCGCAAGGUAUGCCCAACCAAUCAUCAUGCAACAUUAAAUUAAAUUCAUCCAAACUUGAAUUUUGUAAAAUUCAAGCUUGGGGGAGUACUUUACAUAAAAACAUCUUUUGCCAUGUUGCUACGUUGGUUGUCCUUACCUUUGAGACAUGCUCAAUUUGUUAAAUACUAAUCACACUACUUCAUCUCCACUUAAGUAGAUCUUUAUAAGCCAUCAUGCUACCUUUGUUUAUCCUAGUAAGUGUUAGUUUGGAAGUACUGUACAUACUUCUAUUGGCUUUUAAAUUAUGCGUGGUGCUUAGGUUAAAUAGCCUCCCUUAAUCUGAUUAGACAUGGAGUCUAGUUUGGUUACUGAACUAAAAACUGCUUGAGUAGGCAUUGGUAUAUUGUGUCGGACUAGCCCCUACAGGAAAACAUUCAAUAUCAACUUGGGAAGUCCUGAGAUAAACUCACAUUGGAGAUGAAGAAAGUGACACAUGAAGUUUAACGAUUUGCACAAGGAAGACAUAGCUCAUUCAUCAUAAGAGAUGAUCCAUAGAGGGUGCCACAAACACGAUGCACAACCGCUACGAAAGGAAAGCUUCUACAAGGUGAUAUUGUACCGCCACUCUUCAAGUAAGGUAACAUUCUAAGGUACUUGACUAUCGCUUUUAUAAGUUUCUCCUUGGUCCUAGCAUUCACAUAAAUAAAGAGACAAACAUGUAUGAUUUGUAGCUCCAAAUUAAUCAACCCAAUUAAUUCAACAUGUUUAGUCCUUUAAUCUUUGUUCUUAGUACUACCUUCAUGAUCCCACACUCCUAAUCAUAUAAGCUAAUAUGUUGCACAUUCAAUCUUUGGAAGAUAUAAACAAAACAUAAAUAUAGAUAGAUUAUCUUUCCAUUAGGUUGAGCCAUCUGAUCUAACAAAUGUUUUAAAUGCUACACUCAUGAUCCAUCAACUUUGUCUUGCUCACUAUGCUUAAGGUCAGAGAAGAACAAAUACACUUUUGGUUCUGCUGGUGUUUUCCACCAACAGGGCCCAUGCACUUGAUCUCUGCCUUGUCUCUAUGAGCAGGACACAUUUUGAGAAUUGUGAAGGCGUUUUACAACUCCCAGAUUCCAUCAAGUGAAGAACCGGGAUCUACAAGCACAAACACAAUGGAGAUCAGGCGAUAACUUUUCCAAAAGGAAUAUUGAAGAACCUUUGUGUCCGAGUUGGUACCUUGUACGCUCCAGCAAACUUCGUGGUGAUAGAGACUGACACUAAGGAGAGGGCACCCAUCAUCUUAGGGAGACCAUUCCUAAACACCAGAAGUGUCAUCUACGCUAAUGCUGCCAAGAUCAGUCUCUACAUCAAGGGGAAGAAGGAGACUUUCCUUCAAGAACAAGACUACACAAACUUCAGUACAAUCCCGACAUGAACCAAGGAAGAGGACCAACAGGAGGAACAGGAUCAAGCAAAUGUGGACCGAGUCAGCUAAGAUGGUCACUGCAGCUCAAGGAGGUCAAGAUCGUCGACUCAAGUCACCUUUCUUGAUCAAGAAGGACGACCCUGGUGUUCCAAGAAUCGAAUGCACAAACAAUGGAUACUCUUUUUAGAAGACACUCUACGACACCGGAUCUGACGACAACAUAAUGGCCGCAGUCACUUAUCAGCUCCUGCAUAGAACCAUGCCCCUACAACCAAGAUACAUUCAGCUUCAAACAAUUUUCAGGUCAUUGACAUGGGAGAAGACGAGUAUGAUCCAUCCACCAUCCUUGGAAGACCAAUCCUCAGCACUAUCAAAGUCAUUAUCUAUAUUGGAACCGGAGAAAUCCACAUGCACUUCCCCUCUGAGAAGGUAUGCCACUACUUUAAUGAUUCUAACUAUAUAGUUGAAGAUUCUAAGCAGGUCAGGACAAGAAGAAGACAAACCGCAACCAGAGGAGGCAAAUCAGACAGAUGGGUAGACUACGAAGGAGAAGUGAUAAGGACUGAAGACAUACAACUUGAACAGAACUGUCCUGAGGAGACCGUAACACCGAGUCAGGUAUGGAAAAUGAAGAUAACUAUAAAUGAAGAGGAGGCGCUGCCGGAACCACCGACUACGCCACCCAGCAAAUCCCAGUACGACUAAGAAAACGGAGAGUCCCGUUCGGAUGACUUAAAAAUACCGAACGCCUUGCCAAGAGGUAAACUUGGUAGUUAUUCAUUUCCUUUCAAUUAUUCAAUUAUAGUUUGCUUAGUUAAUCAGGUUUAUGCUAUCUUGAAAAGAAAAUAAAAAUGCUAAAAAAAAUAGUAAGCCCCAUGUGAGUAUGCUCAUGGCAUAAAACCCAUAGGUACAUUGACUGUGGUGGCAUAAAAAUAAAAUAAAUAUUUUUCUGCUUUAUAAAAACAAGAAUAUAAAAACAGGGAGUAAUAUUUAUUAAGGAGUCUCAACAUGAUAAAGGCUAGAUAUUUAUGCUAACACUUAAUCAGUUCCACAAGCUUUGUUGUCUAUUUGAGCUCCACAGAAUUUAAGAAUCAAGAAGACUAGCAGACGGAGGACAUUCUAAUCGCUGUCAAAAUACUGCUGACUUUCAAACACACCUCUACCACCUGCUAGCUACAUCAAGAGAAAUUACGUCAAAAUCCAGCUAGGGGGAGAGCACCCCCAUUUAUCUCGCUAAGUAUUUCUACCUAUCUUUAUACUUAUAUUAUGUUAGAAUAUUAAAAUACAUAAACUAUGAAAACCCAAAUAAAGAUUUUGUGCUUUUAUAUAUAUCUUUGCUUAGUUUGCUAAAUAAAUAAAUAAAUAAAAUUUGCUGUGAACCCUCAUGAUAAGCUCUCUCAUGGAAAUGAUGAAUAAUUGCUCUGCCGUGACUAGUUCUUAAAAUUGAAAUCUCUCUCAAGUUUAGGCAUAACUGUUAUAAUUUAAAGCUUGCUCUAGACCUAAACUUGUGGGAUGAAAACUUGAUCUGAAGUCUAAGUUGUUAACGGAUACGAUAUGGGAAGGUUGAGCUGCUGUUUAUCUGUUCCUAGAGAUGCUAGAAUUCUGGAAAAUUUUAUCUUUGAAAAUCUUUAAAAUGUUGCAUGAUGAGUUCCCGUAUGAUGAGAGUUUAAAUUCCUACCACAGCCAUAUAUACAUGCUUGCUAGACCUUGAGCCACACAUUUACUAUUUACUGCUUAGGAGCUCUUGAGCCACACAUUUACUGCUGUGUAGACCCUUAGGAGCUUGUCAUGUGGUUAAAUCAAGAUUCACUUGCACGUUCACUCAUACAUGCUACUUCUACUCCGAAAGUACCAUCCACAUAUAUCCACUCAUUUCCAUCUUCAAAACCACCCAAAAGUAUUCUACUCCUAAUCCGGGAGAGAAUAACCAAAAAUAUUUCUGUUUCCCCUUGUGAAAUAAAUGCUCAAGUUAUCUUGUUACUACCACUUGCUAUAUUAUCUCAAGAGAUGAAUGCUCUAAAAAAAGAGAAAAAGAAAAUAAAAGAUACGGGGAAAUAAAAAGGAGCAAGUGCUCGGAACCUCGAAAGAAAAUAAAAAAAAGAAGAGCAUCUCAUUCUCCCCAUAAAGUUUCAAAAGCAAGGAAGGUAUGUAUCCCCUCAAAGAGCAAAGUAGAAUUAGACCUCCACCACCAUUGUUAUCACCAUCAUCACCAUACACCAUUCAUUCGCCACACAUGCACAUCUUGAUUUGGCUUAUUGAUUUGUUUCUUUGGAUCCAUGGUUUGACUAUGCAAUAAAUGUCUUGUAAGUAUGUAUACUUUAUCUCCCACCUAUGAGCUCCAGAUAUUAAAGCCUUAUUAGAGUAGGGUGAGAGAGUAGACAAUGACACUAUGCUUCAUACCACAAAUACUACAUAUUUUGAGAGAAGGCAUAUACCUUCACUGCCUUGGUAAGGAUCGAAAAAUACCACAAAAGAGAGACCUGAGAGAAUCAUACAUGGAAUUUCUGAAUUUUAUUUGAAAAUCUUCAAAAACCCCAGAGCUAUAGCUGAUCAAGAAUAAGAGACAUGGCACUUGGCUAGACUGUUCUAUCUUUUAACCACUCAAGACAGAAGUGACGGUUACAAGUCCUAUGGUGAAAGGUAAAAUGAGUAAGUUUUAAGUCUUAACAGUUUAUUCUAACUCAGAGAUGAGAUCUUGCUUAAAUGCGUGUGUACUUCUAAGAAAUGAAACUACUGCAGAAACUCUUGAGUUCAUCCUUGCUAAGGGACGAGCAAGAGGUAAGCUUGGGGGAGUUUGUUGACGGUCCUUAAGUAUCAAAUUUAAUUAUCAAGUAAACAAAGAAAAGGAUCCAAAUGAAAUCAACAUCUAGACUUAGGGUUUUAUCUGACAGAAUUCCACGAGUUUUGGUGUUUGUCUAUUUCUGCAGGGGGUUAUUAGGAAAUAAGGAAGAAAGGCCCACAUGUCGGGAUUACAUAGAGAUAUCAACCCACCGCGCAAUUUUCUACCAUCUAGAAGACUCCAGAAGCCACAGGAAGGAAGCGGAGCCCGAAAGGGGCCAGGCCCAGGGCGCCCGCCCUGAGGACCUGGGCGCCCGCCCCCCUCUGGACUCCGUUCCGGACUCUCUUCGCACACGACGUUCCACCGACCUAUUGGAUCCAGAAUAACAUAGUACCACCUCGCCUAUCGACCCAAAAACGCAUAGAAGGGGAGGACUAUAUAAGGAGACCCCCUCUGGCCCCUGGAGGAGACAAGAAAUUAUCAUAGAGAUUGAGGGGUGCCCUCGAAGGAAAACCUCUUCUCUAAAUAAUAUUUCUUUUUAGGCUUAGCAACCAAUGUAAAGUAGAUAUAGAUCUUCUAGUUUCUACUAGAUUGAGAGAGAUAGAGUGGAGGUGUGG